Molecule: transfer RNA, 78 nt
Filed under: Myxococcales bacterium
Lineage: Bacteria; Pseudomonadati; Myxococcota; Myxococcia; Myxococcales
Description: tRNA-OTHER
Source: RNAcentral
GCGAGAUUGUGGAGCUUUGGCGGGAUUUAGGUUCCCGUUCCUAACGGAGUAGGGGUUCGAGUCCCCUCUCUCGCACCA